Molecule: long non-coding RNA, 1871 nt
Filed under: Olea europaea subsp. europaea
Lineage: Eukaryota; Viridiplantae; Streptophyta; Magnoliopsida; Lamiales; Oleaceae
Source: RNAcentral
CCUUUUGUUGGCGUGAAUCAUCAUGGACAAUCAAUACUGCUUGGUUGUGGUUUGGUAUCCAAUGAGGACACAGAUACUUUUGUGUGGCUAUUUAGGACAUGGCUUCAGUGCAUGAAUGGUCAAGCUCCAUAUGGAAUAAUUACCGAUCAAGACAGUGCCAUCCAAAAUGCAAUUCAGAUUGUUUUUCCAAAUACAAAGCAUAGAUGGUGUUUGUGGCACAUUAUGAAGAAGUUACCUGAAAAGUUUGGCUAUCACGUUGAUAAGGGUUCGAUAUUUUCGGCUAUACACGGAUUAGUAUAUGAUUCACAGAUGGUUGAAGAAUAUGAAGAAGGUUGGAGAUCAAUGAUCAAUACGUAUGACUUGCAUAAUAAUGAUUGGUUAUCAGGAUUGUAUGAGAACAGAGAUUGUUGGGUUCCUUGCUUUUUGAAAACUACUUUUUGGGCUGGGAUGUCAACAACUCAACGAAAUGAGAGUAUGAAUGCAUUUUUUCAUGGGUAUGUGCAUCCAAAGACCUCAUUGAAGCAAUUUGUCGAACAAUAUGAACGAGCACUAAGGAAUAAGGUUGAAAAGGAGUUUCAGGCCGAUUUCAAGUCAUUCUUGCAAAUGGUACCAUGUGCAACAAAGUAUGAAAUGGAGAAGCAAUUUCAAUCAGUUUACACCAUUUCAAAAUUUAGGGAAGUUCAAGAUGAGUUUACAGGGAAGAUUUAUUGUGACCUCAUAUCUGUUUCGGAGGGAUGUUUUGGGACGACAUACGAGGUACGGGAGGAUGUCAUGCAUGACGAGCGACGGAAGAAAAAAACAUUUUUUGUCUCAUUUCAGAAAGAAAAAUGUGAAAUUAUUUGCAGUUGUCACUUAUUCGAGUUUCGAGGAAUAAUUUGUAGGCAUGCAAUUGCAGUCUUGAUCCGUAACGACGUGACAUCAUUGCCGGAAAGGUAUAUAUUGCGAAGAUGGAGGAGAGAUAUUAGUAGAGCACACACAAGGGUCGCAGUUAAUUACGAUGGGUUGGUUAGUACUCCUGAACAAUUGAGAUAUGACAAUAUGUGUGAGGCAUUCGCUAGGGUGGCGGACCUUGCUGCAGAUGAUGAAGGGCUGACCCGUAUGAUAAUGGACUGGAUAGAAUUUCAAUCUAAAGAGCUUGUGAUGACAAAGUCGAGUAGUGGAAGCAAUGCCCUUUUGUAGUAUACUGUUUAGUUAGCCCCAGUGUAUGGUUUUGCAAAAUAUUGUGAAAUGAUAUUGUUAUGUCACAAUGAUAUUGGAUGGGCAUCCCUUGCUUAGUUUACUAUUGCAAUUCACAGCUUGUGUAAUGAUCUGAGAAAUCUUGCAAAUGAUAUUGUUAUGUCAUAAUGUGUUAUUUUAUCCUCAGUCAGAGCACAAUUUGAAUGAAGAUUUUGUUAGCAAGAUAGUAUAAUGUUGGGAUGAAUUUUCUGGAACAUCAAUAUGUGCUAAGGUUUUAUCUUCAUGUUAUUAACGUAAUCUCCACGAGAAUUGUGUACGGGAGUUGAUUCCAAGUAUCUUGCUUUUUCUUAACUGAGUGAGCAAAACAAUGUCAUAUGAUGGCUUUUUCAUGCUACUCAGUACACAUUUACCACUGCAUUGCCAGCAGGUUUGUAGCACAAUUGUAAUGCUAGAAGUGAUGCUAGAGAUUGUGUACCUGGAAUUGACCAGGUCUGUUGCAGGGCACUUUGUAAUAUAUGGUGUGUGUGAGAGAAAGGAAUUUGGAUUUAUUGGACUCUUACGACUCAUACACGAAAUUUGUCAUAACCAGAAAUUGUCCACCUUGCUAGGUGGGACAACUAAAACAUCAAAUCUCUAGUUUCUAGACGACUCCAUAGUUUCAACAGGUAUAUACUCUUGCGAUAAAUUGUCUUUCC